GAUCCAGCCAUGCGCGUGAGUGAAGAAGGCCUUCGGGUUGUAAAGCUCUUUCGGCCGGAAGAAAUCGCAUGGGUCAAUACCCUGUGUGGAUGACGGUACCGGAAUAAGAAGCACCGGCUAACUACGUGCCAGCAGCCGCGGUAAUACGUAGGGUGCGAGCGUUAAUCGGAAUUACUGGGCGUAAAGCGUGCGCAGGCGGUUUGGUAAGUCAGAUGUGAAAUCCCCGGGCUCAACCUGGGAACUGCAUUUGAGACUGCCAAGCUGGAGUUUGGCAGAGGGGGGUGGAAUUCCACGUGUAGCAGUGAAAUGCGUAGAGAUGUGGAGGAACACCGAUGGCGAAGGCAGCCCCCUGGGCCAAUACUGACGCUCAUGCACGAAAGCGUGGGGAGCAAACAGGAUUAGAUACCCUGGUAGUCCACGCCCUAAACGAUGUCAACUAGGUGUUGGGAGGGUUAAACCUUUUAGUGCCGUAGCUAACGCGUGAAGUUGACCGCCUGGGGAGUACGGCCGCAAGGCUAAAACUCAAAGGAAUUGACGGG
This 539-nucleotide ribosomal RNA is filed under the name uncultured bacterium. RNAcentral describes it as "bacterial SSU rRNA". It matches the Rfam family "Bacterial small subunit ribosomal RNA", at positions 385 to 917 of the family's 1533-position model. The record is from RNAcentral.